AGUUAUAUAGUUUAAAUAAAACGUUAAUUUUGUAAAUUAAAAUUAAAUAGUAAGAAUUUUGUAUCUA
RNAcentral lists this transfer RNA (67 nucleotides) under Pujadella villari. RNAcentral's name for it is "tRNA-Thr". The record is from RNAcentral. Lineage: Eukaryota; Metazoa; Arthropoda; Insecta; Hymenoptera; Figitidae.